Molecule: ribosomal RNA, 490 nt
Filed under: uncultured bacterium
Lineage: Bacteria
Description: partial 16S ribosomal RNA
Rfam family: Bacterial small subunit ribosomal RNA
Source: RNAcentral
AUUGAACGCUGGCGGCAGGCCUAACACAUGCAAGUCGAACGGUAACAGGAAGCAGCUUGCUGCUUCGCUGACGAGUGGCGGACGGGUGAGUAAUGUCUGGGAAACUGCCUGAUGGAGGGGGAUAACUACUGGAAACGGUAGCUAAUACCGCAUAACGUCGCAAGACAAAAGAGGUGGACCUUAGGGCCUCUUGCCAUCGGAUGUGCCCAGAUGGGAUUAGCUAGUAGGUGGGGUAACGGCUCACCUAGGCGACGAUCCCUAGCUGGUCUGAGAGGAUGACCAGCCACACUGGAACUGAGACACGGUCCAGACUCCUACGGGAGGCAGCAGUGGGGAAUAUUGCACAAUGGGCGCAAGCCUGAUGCAGCCAUGCCGCGUGUAUGAAGAAGGCCUUCGGGUUGUAAAGUACUUUCAGCGGGGAGGAAGGGAGUAAAGUUAAUACCUUUGCUCAUUGACGUUACCCGCAGAAGAAGCACCGGCUAACUCCGUG